This 492-nucleotide ribosomal RNA is filed under the name uncultured bacterium. RNAcentral's name for it is "partial 16S ribosomal RNA". It matches the Rfam family "Bacterial small subunit ribosomal RNA", at positions 28 to 507 of the family's 1533-position model. The record is from RNAcentral.
GAUGAACGCUAGCUCCAGGCUUAACACAUGCAAGUCGAGGGGAAACGACAUCGAAAGCUUGCUUUUGAUGGGCGUCGACCGGCGCACGGGUGAGUAACGCGUAUCCAACCUGCCCAUCACUUGGGAAUAACCUUGCGAAAGUAAGACUAAUACCCAAUGAUAUCCCACGAAGGCAUCGGAAUGGGAUUAAAGAUUUAUCGGUGAUGGAUGGGGAUGCGUCUGAUUAGCUUGUUGGCGGGGUAACGGCCCACCAAGGCAACGAUCAGUAGGGGUUCUGAGAGGAAGGUCCCCCACAUUGGAACUGAGACACGGUCCAAACUCCUACGGGAGGCAGCAGUGAGGAAUAUUGGUCAAUGGGCGAGAGCCUGAACCAGCCAAGUAGCGUGCAGGAAGACGGCCCUAUGGGUGGUAAACUGCUUUUAUAAGGGAAUAAAGUGGGUCACGUGUGACUUUUUGCAUGUACCUUAUGAAUAAGGACCGGCUAAUUCCGUG